RNAcentral lists this long non-coding RNA (613 nucleotides) under Olea europaea subsp. europaea. The record is from RNAcentral. Lineage: Eukaryota; Viridiplantae; Streptophyta; Magnoliopsida; Lamiales; Oleaceae.
CUGGCUUUUCACUUCAUGCUAUGUGAUCACAAUUCCUAUUUUGGCCGGGAAAACCUACUUUCCUUAUUUUAAUCAUUCACUUCAUGGAAACCAAUUGGGACACAGAUUUUGACAUAAUUAUGUCUAAUAAAUAUGUUCUUUCAUCUACAAUACAAGGGAAGGAAGCUAGGAGGCUCAUAUACACGUAUUCCAUAUAAUCAAGAAAGCCAUUGGAGAGAAAAUUUAGAAAUUUAUUCAAGCUUUAUAGAGGACUUUUCUAAAAGGCAAAUAUCCACAUCCUUAUUGCUUGGGACUGAAGAAGAAGAAAAUCACGAACCACUAAAUGAAUUCAAGAUUCAGCACAUUUCAUUACAAUACAAGGAGACGAAGCUAGGAGGCUCAUAUACAUGUAUUCCAUAUAAUCAAGAAAGCCAUUGGAGUGAAAUUUAGAAAUUUAUCCAAGAAUUAUAGACAUCUUUUCUAAAAAGCAAAUGUCCACAUCCCAAUUAUUGCUCGGGAUUGAAGAAGAAGAAGAAGAAGAAAAUCACAAACCAUUCGAAUGAAUUCAAGAUUCAACACUCUUUUCGUCUCUCUUCCAAAUUCUUUACUUUUGAGAGACGUAUUUAUUUAAUCG